CUGCCAAUGGCGCUGGGGCAGCCGGGGCAGCCCUGUCACCCCGCCCCGAGGAGGCCCACACCGAGGGUGGCCGCGGCCUGCCCCUCCAGGCGGAGGAGCCCGGACUGCGGAAGGAUGGAGCUGGCCGCGGGGGGCUUCUCGGAGGAGCAGUUCUGGGAGGCCUGCGCCGAGCUCCAGCAGCCCGCUCUGGCCGGGGCCGACUGGCAGCUCCUAGUGGAGACCUCGGGCAUCAGCAUCUACCGGCUGCUGGACAAGAAGACUGGACUUUAUGAGUAUAAAGUCUUUGGUGUUCUGGAGGACUGCUCACCAACUCUACUGGCAGACGUCUAUAUGGACUCAGACUACAGAAAACAAUGGGACGAGUACGUUAAAGAACUCUAUGAACAAGAAUGCAACGGAGAGACUGUAGUCUACUGGGAAGUGAAGUACCCUUUUCCCAUGUCCAACAGAGAUUAUGUCUACCUUCGGCAGCGGCGAGACCUGGACAUGGAAGGGCGGAAGAUCCACGUGGUCCUGGCCCGGAGCACCUCCACGCCUCAGCUUGGCGAGAGGUCUGGGGUGGUCCGGGUGAAGCAAUACAAGCAGAGCCUGGCGAUCGAGAGUGACGGCAAGAAGGGGAGCAAAGUUUUCAUGUAUUACUUCGAUAACCCGGGUGGCCAAAUUCCGUCCUGGCUCAUUAACUGGGCCGCCAAGAACGGAGUUCCUAACUUCUUGAAAGACAUGGCAAGAGCCUGUCAGAACUACCUCAAGAAAACCUAAGAAAGAGAAUUGGGAACAUUGCAUCCAUGGGAUGAUGUCCCUGGAAGUGCAACCACCCAAUGUCUCUGGAAAUGCCACCACCCACCGCUGCUCAGCCUUCCCCUGCUGUUUCUGUCUUCAGAGGCCUACACACUCUACCACAUCCUUUCUAAGCAUGUUCGCCUGACAUCCAGCUCACUCGCCUGCUUCCUUUCUCACUGCCCCCAUCCUGGGCUGGGCUGCCUUCUUCUACAAUUCAAUAUGGGGCAGCCUAGGGAAACCUUUGCUUGCUUGCUAUUAGGAAGGGAAGUCUUCAGUAGGGAGCACGAUCAUUCCGUCGUGCAAUUUUAUGGGGAUGGGUGGGCGGAGGGACACAACAACAUUGAAGAAUGACUAUUUGGGCAGGCUGGCUCUUUCGCAGCUUGUGAUUUCUUCCAACUUGGGAGGGGCUGCUGGAAGUGGCAUUCAGUUCAGAGCUGACUUUCAGUGCACCCAAACUGGACGACAUGUGCCAAUGGCCAUUUGCCUUAUGCUUUGUGGAGCUGAUUAGGCUGGGAUUUGAGGUGAUAAUCCAGUAAGUCUUUCCUCAUUCCUACUUGUAGAGGAUCAGUAGCUGUUAUGAUGCCAGACCAUUUGGAGAAGUAUCACAGGCCUGACCGGACACAUAAUAUGACAACCACAUUUUUCCUCAUCAUCCAUGUCUGUUUUUUUCUCUUUUCCGUAUGUCACUGGGGAAGGGCUGCCUGUACCUCUCAAGCUUUGCAUUUUACUGGAAACUGAGGCAUCAAGAUGGCUGUGGCAGCUAGCAAAAGCAAAGAUGCUUUGUGCAUAGCCUUGUGAAAAAAGGCUGGAGUCCAUCGGCAUUGGGGUAGGCAUGGCGUUUGCGGGAUGAAUGAGAAAGAUAUGGUGCCUGCCCCUAAGGUGCUUAUGGUCUAAUGAAAACUCAGUGAACAAGCUGCUGAAGGAUGAUAAGUGCUCAGAAAAGGAAAAUAAAAGGUGCUGUUAAAAAAAAGGGCAGUAACCAAGUUUGAGGAGCAGAGGAGAAUGUGUUGGAAUUGUGGCUGGAUGAAGAUUGCAGAAGAAAGCUGUUCAUGACAGAAGAACCAUUUGCACAAAACCUCUAAGGAGGAAGGACUCAGCAGGAGAGUCAGUCACGUCUGAAGAAUGACAGAAGGCCAGUCUGGCUGAAGCACUGACAUGAAGGAGAGGCAUCUUGUAUGUGGCUGGAGAAGUAGACAGGCCAUGGGGGGUCCUGAGAGCAACGGCAAGGAUUUGGGACUUUAUCCCAAGAGUCCCAAUAAGCUUUGAAAGAUUUUAGAUUAACGAAUGACCUAAAAAUAUGUAUUAUUCUUAACACCGCUCAUUUUUCUCCAUGAUUCCCCAGCAUCUCUGACAGCCUCUCCAGUAGCAUUGUGUGGGGCUACUCAAGGUGCUUUAAGCCCUAUUACUUGGAAUCCUGUCCAUUGUCAGGCAGCAUGCAGAGUAGCCCAUACUUAAAUCAAGUUUCCAAAGUGCAACAUCAGUUUCUGAAGUUUAACUGAAAAACAAAAGGCUGGAGGGAUGGGACCACCCAUGCACAUCCCCUCUGUCUCUCUUGGCCCAUGUUGGGGUGCAGCAUACCCUCUCACACAUCUGCAUCAUGCAGCCCAUCAGAGCAGAGCCAUUUAAGGGGCCAGAAGUGGGAAAGAAAAAAAGAAAGGCAAAAAAAU
Molecule: RNA transcript, 2447 nt
Organism: Nomascus leucogenys (northern white-cheeked gibbon)
Lineage: Eukaryota; Metazoa; Chordata; Mammalia; Primates; Hylobatidae
Gene: PCTP
Gene name: phosphatidylcholine transfer protein
Exons: 7
Source: RefSeq, a predicted model, not a curated record